UGUAUUUUAAUAUACAAACAAUCUUCCCAGAUAAACAAUGGUUUAAACAUUUCCAGUAUAUAGAUAGAAGACAUAUUACAACGUUAAUUAGAAUGCGUACAGGCCAUUGCUUAACAAAAAACCAUUUAUAUAAAAUUAAAGUGAAGGAAGAUCCAUUCUUUUCCGAAUGCAGUCUGUUUGUGUGACCUCUAUCCUAUGUGCCUUUGUGUGUGAUAUAAUCUUCCUUUCAGCACGUCAUUUAUAUAUUUAAUAAAUAAUAAUAAUAACAUUUUACAGUCACAGGUCACAGGUUACCUUCAUAGAAGUUAGUUAUAUUAAAAUUUACCCAUUAUACAUUUUACUCAGAUAAGAAUCAGUGGCCUUGAUAUGGUUUAGAGCCAGUCAACAUCUUGGUCACUCCCAAAUUGAGCUGGCGGUUGCCUUGUAGCAGAGCCAUCAUAAAAAAAGAAGAAGAAGAA
Molecule: long non-coding RNA, 458 nt
Filed under: Sitophilus oryzae (rice weevil)
Lineage: Eukaryota; Metazoa; Arthropoda; Insecta; Coleoptera; Curculionidae
Description: uncharacterized LOC115884737
Source: RNAcentral